AGCGUAGGCGGCGUGGUAAGUCAGAUGUGAAAUCCCGGGGCUCAACCCCGGAACUGCAUCCGAUACUGCCGUGCUAGAGGAUUGGAGAGGUAGCUGGAAUUCUUGGUGUAGCAGUGAAAUGCGUGGAUAUCAAGGGGAACACUCAUGGCGAAAGCGAGCUACUGGACAACUCCUGACGCUGAGGCUCGAAGGCCAGGGUAGCGAAAG
Molecule: ribosomal RNA, 207 nt
Filed under: uncultured bacterium
Lineage: Bacteria
Description: partial 16S ribosomal RNA
Rfam family: Bacterial small subunit ribosomal RNA
Source: RNAcentral